Microtus ochrogaster (prairie vole) is the source of this 455-nucleotide long non-coding RNA. RefSeq lists it as uncharacterized. The record is from RefSeq and is a predicted model, not a curated record. NCBI's taxonomy places the organism in Eukaryota, Metazoa, Chordata, Mammalia, Rodentia, Cricetidae.
GAUGGGAGUGGAGUCGGGUAACAGAGACAAGUGCUUCUUCCCCUUGGACAGCUGCACUACCCAGAACCCAUUUUCCGGGGAUUUGGGCACCCUGUCCUUCCGGCUCACGUUGUCCCUGCACACGCCUAAGGCCCAGAGUGCAUCCCCGGUCAGACACCAAACCUUCAGAGUCCAGGAACCCCUUUCCUCCCUGAGGCCUCCCACCCUGAAAGGGCCCUUCCUGUCAUGGGAUGAGGAUGGAUAUGGAGACACAGGAUGGACGACAGCCACUGGGCACCCACCUGCCAUUGAGUUAAGUUCUCUUCCCCCUUGGCUUGCAGCGUCUCCGUCUUCGUCACCUCCUCCCGAAGAUACUUUAUGUCUUCCUCCAACUUCGUCUGGAUACACAAACACAGGCCUCAGCUCAUCAGGAUGCAGUUUCUGCAGAAGUUGUGGCCACAGGCAGUCAUCACAGG